CGACCGGCGCACGGGUGAGUAACACGUAUGCAACCUGCCCUCCGCAGGGGGAUAACCCGGAGAAAUCCGGACUAAUACCGCGUGGUACAUCUGUGGGGCAUCCCACGGGUGUUAAAAGGAAGCGAUUCCGGCGGAGGGAUGGGCAUGCGGCGCAUUAGCUAGUUGGCGGGGUAACGGCCCACCAAGGCGACGAUGCGUAGGGGUUCUGAGAGGAAGGUCCCCCACACUGGUACUGAGACACGGACCAGACUCCUACGGAAGGCAGCAG
RNAcentral lists this ribosomal RNA (268 nucleotides) under uncultured bacterium. RNAcentral describes it as "partial 16S ribosomal RNA". It matches the Rfam family "Bacterial small subunit ribosomal RNA", at positions 92 to 354 of the family's 1533-position model. The record is from RNAcentral.